Rosa rugosa (rugosa rose) is the source of this 1557-nucleotide long non-coding RNA. RefSeq lists it as uncharacterized. The transcript is spliced from 4 exons. The record is from RefSeq and is a predicted model, not a curated record. NCBI's taxonomy places the organism in Eukaryota, Viridiplantae, Streptophyta, Magnoliopsida, Rosales, Rosaceae.
AGACACCCUGGAUUAUCAUGAUUGAUUGCUAGGCGUUUAGUUUGUAUGAUUGAGAUGAGGAAAGUAGCAAUAGUUAUGUGAAUUUGGAGUCUGAAUACUAUAGUAUUUGCUGUGAAUGACUGAAUGUUAGACGAGGAACCUGCUUCGCAUUGCUAUAUUCAAUAUCACUGGGUAUGAUAUUGAUGCAUUUUCUACUCACUUCCUCAGUUCCUCUAUCUCGGCCAUGUUCCCCAACCCUAGUUGGCCGUCCCACAAGCUCUUCAACAAGACGUCGUGGACCGACUUCGAUUACUGCAAAAUCCCGCCAGGUCACUACUCUCCUUCAUCACCAAUCAAUCAAUCUAUCCAAUUCAGUUUGCUUCUAAUUCUAAAUACUAGCCCUUCUUUUUCACUUCUUGGCUGCAUUCUGAACAUGCAUGUUGUUUAUUUGAUUAUUAUGUCUCUCUGUAAAGUUUGGCUUUUUCUAUAGAGAUAAUCAUAAAUUACUGCCCAGCUUUAAUUAUGAGGCACUUCAUGACUUUAUCAUCUAAAGCUUAUGAAGCUAUACCCUAUGCUUUGUAUAGAAGAUCGAGGCUAGGCUUUCUGGCUUUCUAUUUUUGGUGAAGCUUGUGACCCAAAAUAGGCCUUGCUUUAUAUGGCAACGACAGCAUGGAUUUCUUACAUUGCAUAAUGAUAUUAGUUUAGUGCUUUUAGAUUUGGUCUAUUUUUCCCAAAUGCUUUUAGUAAGUAUUAUCUAUAGCUGCUAGCACUCGAUGAAGUUGUAGAAAUGAAGUAAUUAUUCAAACUGGGAGCAUAUAACUUGUAUUCAAAUAUCUCAUAGCUACUGAUUUUGGCAUUUGAUAAUUCCAGGAAUUGUAAUUUCUGUUUUGUAGUUGUGUUGGUAAAUUUCUAUUGGUUCUUUGAUGAUAACUUGAAUAUAUAUCUGAGUGAGGCGGCUAUCAAGAAGGAAAGACAUGAGGCACGGCGCGCUAAAAAGGAUUUGAAGGGACUUUACUGGGGUGAAGCGCAGCAUGCUUAGAGAGUAGAUUCUUAAUGAGUUUUUGUCAAGUGGUUUUGUUGUGAUGCUUUUUCAUUAUGAUGGUAACGUUGAUGAGGGGAAGCAAUUUUAAUGGAAUGAUCUUGUCAUUUAUGUGUCUGCAGUCAAUCAAACAAAAUGGUGGUUCGCAAAGCGUUUCUUACAUCCUGAUAUAGUUUAUCAAUAUAGUCGCAUUCUUCUACAGGAUGAGGACCUUGGAGUUGACAAUUUCAAUCCUCAACGGUAUGUGUCCAUUGUUCGAAAGGAAGGGCUUGAAAUAUCACAACCGGCACUUGAUUUUUCCAAGACAGAGGUGAACUAUAUGGAGAAACUUUCAAAAGAGGAGGGGAUUCAGAAGAAACUCAGCAAGGAUAUUUUGCAAUAUAAAGCUCAUAUAAUCAAGAUAUUUGCGGAACAUAGGUACAAUUGGAUCUCUGCAGAUUUAGAGUUUUAGAAAUUUGCCUAGGGCUUAGGAUGCAAGUCACUGGUGAAUUGUAAACUCCAGUUUAUUAAAUAAAUUAGCUUUUUGUAUAUUUUUAUGA